CUCGGGCUAAUACCGGAUGUGGUACGGAGACAUAAGUCUCUUUACUAAAGGUAGCUUUCGGCUUCCGCAUUUGGGAGGGGCCCCGCGGCCCAUUAGCUAGUUGGUGGGGUCAAGGCCUACCAAGGCAACGAUGGGUAGCUGGUCUGAGAGGACGAUCAGCCACACUGGGACUGAGACACGGCCCAGACUCCUACGGGAGGCAGCAGUGGGGAAUCUUGCGCAAUGCGCGAAAGCGUGACGCAGCAACACCGCGUGAGGGAAGACGGCCUUAGGGUUGUAAACCUCUUUCAGAUGGGACGAAGGUGAUGCGGUGAAUAGCCGAUGUCAUUGACGGUACCGUCAGAAGAAGCUCCGGCUAACUACGUG
This 366-nucleotide ribosomal RNA is filed under the name uncultured bacterium. RNAcentral describes it as "bacterial SSU rRNA". It matches the Rfam family "Bacterial small subunit ribosomal RNA", at positions 157 to 507 of the family's 1533-position model. The record is from RNAcentral.